CCAGGCCUUGACAUACUCGGCAAAGCUCUAGAGAUAGAGUGGAGGUUAUCCGGGAUACAGGUGGUGCAUGGUUGUCGUCAGCUCGUGUCGUGAGAUGUUGGGUUAAGUCCCGCAACGAGCGCAACCCUUGUCUUUAGUUACCAUCAUUCAGUUGGGGACUCUAGAGAGACUGCCGGUGAUAAACCGGAGGAAGUGGGGAUGACGUCAAAUCAUCAUGCCCCUUAUGGCCUGGGCUACAAACGUAAUACAAUGGCGUAUACAAAGGGAUGCGAAAGGGCGACCUGGAGCAAAACUCACAAAGUACGUCUCAGUUCAGAUUGGAGUCUGCAACUCGACUCCAUGAAGGCGGAAUCGCUAGUAAUCGCGGAUCAGCAUGCCGCGGUGAAUACGUUCUCGGGGUUU
RNAcentral lists this ribosomal RNA (402 nucleotides) under uncultured Erysipelothrix sp. Its description in RNAcentral is "bacterial SSU rRNA". It matches the Rfam family "Bacterial small subunit ribosomal RNA", at positions 974 to 1382 of the family's 1533-position model. The record is from RNAcentral. Lineage: Bacteria; Bacillati; Bacillota; Erysipelotrichia; Erysipelotrichales; Erysipelotrichaceae.